GAGUUUGAUCAUGGCUCAGGAUGAACGCUAGCGGCAGGCCUAAUACAUGCAAGUCGAGGGGCAGCGCGGGUAGCAAUACCUGGCGGCGACCGGCACACGGGUGCGUAACACGUAUACAAUCUGCCUUUAACAGGGGGAUAGCCCGGAGAAAUCCGGAUUAAUACCCCAUAAUAUAUUGAGUGGCAUCACUUGAUAUUGAAAGCUCCGGCGGUUAGAGAUGGGUAUGCGCCUGAUUAGUUAGUUGGUGAGGUAAUGGCUCACCAAGGCGACGACGGGUAGCUGGUCUGAGAGGAUGAUCAGCCACACUGGAACUGAGACACGGUCCAGACUCCUACGGGAGGCAGCAGUGGGGAAUAUUGGACAAUGGGCGCAAGCCUGAUCCAGCCAUGCCGCGUGUGUGAAGAAGGCC
This 409-nucleotide ribosomal RNA is filed under the name uncultured Gammaproteobacteria bacterium. RNAcentral describes it as "bacterial SSU rRNA". It matches the Rfam family "Bacterial small subunit ribosomal RNA", at positions 9 to 416 of the family's 1533-position model. Lineage: Bacteria; Pseudomonadati; Pseudomonadota; Gammaproteobacteria. The record is from RNAcentral.